CGCGUGAGUAACCUGCCUUGGAGUGGGGAAUAACAGCUGGAAACGGCUGCUAAUACCGCAUAAUGCAGUUGGGUCGCAUGGCUCUGACUGCCAAAGAUUUAUCGCUCUGAGAUGGACUCGCGUCUGAUUAGCUAGUUGGCGGGGUAACGGCCCACCAAGGCGACGAUCAGUAGCCGGACUGAGAGGUUGGCCGGCCACAUUGGGACUGAGACACGGCCCAGACUCCUACGGAAGGCAGCAG
RNAcentral lists this ribosomal RNA (241 nucleotides) under uncultured bacterium. RNAcentral's name for it is "partial 16S ribosomal RNA". It matches the Rfam family "Bacterial small subunit ribosomal RNA", at positions 114 to 354 of the family's 1533-position model. The record is from RNAcentral.